This 264-nucleotide ribosomal RNA is filed under the name uncultured archaeon. RNAcentral's name for it is "partial 16S ribosomal RNA". It matches the Rfam family "Archaeal small subunit ribosomal RNA", at positions 719 to 982 of the family's 1478-position model. The record is from RNAcentral.
ACGACUACAUUUAGAUACCCGGGUAGUCCUAGGCGUAAAUGAUGCGAGUUAAGUNUGGGGGCAUCUACGAGAUGGCCCUGUGCUGUAGGGUAGCCGUUAAACUCGCUGGCCUGGGGAGUACGGUCGCAAGGCUGAAACUUAAAGGAAUUGGCGGGGAGCACCACAAGAGGUGGAGGCUGCGGUUCAAUUGGACUCAACGCCGGAAAACUCAUCGGGAGCGACAGCAGUAUGAUUGCCAGGUUGAUGACCUUGCUUGACAAGCUG